UUUUUUUUUAGAGAGAGAGAGAGGAUUUUUUUAAUAUUUAUUUUUUAGUUUUCGGUGGACACAGCAUCUUUAUUUUUUAUUUUUAUGUGGUGCUGAGGAUCGAACCCAGCGCCUCGCGCAUGCCAGGCGAGCAUGCUACCGCUUGAGCCACAUCCCCAGCCCCUCACUAAGGCAUCUUGCUAGACCAUUCUCUGCAGUCUUUCUGGCCAGUUUCCCCAGCAGUGAAUCCUCUAAUCUUCUGCCUGUGGUGUUAAAGCCCCAUUGCCAACAUUAUGGGAGCAGAGAAGGGGGAAGGGGACUGUGGAAUCUCACAAUUCAGAGCACAUACUUUUUAAAAAAAAUUAUUUUAAUCUGUUAUGUAUGACAGCAGAACACAUUACAAUUCAUAUUACAAAUAUAGAGCACAAUUUUUCAUAUCUCUGGUGGUACACAAAGUAGAGUCACGCCACUCGUGUUCAGAGCACAGACUUUUAGUUCUCUGUUUCCAGAGUGUAUGGCAAGCAAGUUCUCAGCUGUGCCCAGUGUCCUCCAGUCCAGUCCCUCUAUGAUUCAACCUUUCCUCAUAGGUGCACACAGGGAUGAGAAGAAACAACGGGAGUCAGAGUGUUUCUGGCACAAAUGUUCAACACGUUUAUUUUCAGCACAUCUGUACCCAAGUUCUACAGAGGGCACCAGCAUCUGUUUUUUCUAAGGUUUUGUGGUAUAGCUGGUUUGCCUCUUUGGGUUCCCCUUUUGGGAGUUUAGAUUUCAGUUUUAUAUUCUGUGUUAAAUUCAUCACUUUUCAUUCACCAGCUUUUUUAUUUCCUUCUGUCGUCUCUGUUCCUGUUCUCUCUUUGUCUACAGUGGUGUGCUGGUAAACAGUCCACAAAUGACUCUUGGAUAAAGUGAGGUACCUGAUUUGCAGCAGUCUGACUGCCGAGGUAUAAAUACUUCUACUGUGACCAAUUUGAAGGCACGGAAAGAACAUCUCUGGAUAUGCAGUUGGAAAGAAAUGCAAAGUAGCACCUCAGUAUGUGAGAUUUCUACUAACCCGGGACAACUGAUGUGAGCAAUGCUGGUUAGUAACCUCUAGAGAAAACAUAGUUAUAAAAGUAUUAGAAAAUUGUAAGUUUUGAGAAUUUAUUAGCUUUGCUUUUAAUGUAUUUUAAAAAUUGUAAGCAUAUAUCAUUUUAGUUUUUUUGAUUUGUUGUGUACUGGGGAUUGAACUCGGGGUCACUCGACCACUGAGCCACAUCCCCAGCCCUAUUUUGUAUUUUAUUUAGAGACAGGGUCUCACUGAGUUGCUUAGCACCUUGCUUUUGCUGAGGCUGGCUUUGAACUCAAGAUCUUUCUGUCUCAGCCUCCUGAGAAGCUGGGAUUAUAGGUGGGCGCCACUGAGCCUGGCCUUGUUUAGUUUUUAAAAUGACUGUUUCACAUCCAGCUAGAAAAAUUCCUAAAAAAAUCUUACAAUCGGCUGGCACAAGUCAAUAUUGGCUGGGCCUAACCUACAUUGGGUUUAUGCCUUUAUAAUGAUUUUAUUGUCUUUUUAGUGUAUUAUUAAUAAACUUUUUUUUUCAAUCAACUGCCGUACAGCAUGCAAUUACUUGGCCUCCUAUUGUUAACAGAAUAGUAAUCCAGCCAAAGUUCACUUGGUCUAAUUGCAGUUCUCAAACCAUGACGAGGAACGGUGUCAAUGAUUGGGCAUGAGGUCUCACAGGUGAAGGCAGUGACUGCACCAACUCCCAAUGUGAUCUCAGUUUUGAAAAAGAACAUUUACUGUGUCUGUGUUUCUUAGCAACUCUCUGAAGUGGCGCCCAGCAGCUCCUCACUCUAAACCUGACAACCAGGAAGAGUUUAACAAAGCCAAACACCUGCAUAGAGCCUUUUAUUAGAGGAGCCCACAGCAGUUCACCAACGGUGCCUCAUUUAGUCUCGCUGUUCCUCCCAGUGGGAGGAGGAGAGGAAUCUCAUCAGCCCCAUUUUACAGAUGGUCAAGAAGAGGCCUGACAGCAGAUCAACACCAGCUCAGGCAAGAUCAACAGAGUCUUCUUGUUGCCUGAAAAUCUAGCAUGCUCUCUCUCCAUAGCAACAGAAUCUUGUGCACUAAGUUAUGUUUCCUGAGUCUAGGCAGGUGGACGAUUCAGUUUUACUAUCUGAAAUAUCAAGGAGUUCUUUCUUUGUUGGUAACAGGAUUGAACCCAUGGUUGCUUAACCACUGAGCUAAGUCCCCAGCCCUUUUUACUUUUAAUUUUGAGAGAGUCUUGAUAAGUUGCUGAGGACCUCCCUAAGUUGCUGAGGCUGGCUUUGAAAUUGUGAUCCUCCUGCCUCAGCCUCCAGAGCUGCUAGGAUUACUGGUGUGCGCUACCACGCCUGGCUUCAAGUAGUUCUUUUAAAUCCUAAAUUGGAUGAUUCUGGUUCUGACCAUUGUGAACCCUCCCACACCUUCUGUUGUGUGUGAUUUGUAGUAUUUUAUGGUAUGUUACCCAACAUCAUUUUGUCUAAAGAAGUAGGGGAUUGUUGGCAGGUACACAAAGCCAUCCUUUGGGUGCAAAUUAAGGGUCCAGGUACUAUAGUUUGGUUUCUCUGUUGAGCAAAUAGCAAAGCAUUAAUAAUGGCCAAAAUAGAAAAUAGACUUUCCAAACAUUUGCUAUGUGCCACAUGUGGAAUUUAGUAUUUAUAUGCAUCAUUGCAUUUAAAUCUUUAUAACAGAAUUGUGGCUGGUAUUAAUAUAUCCCUAUUUUGAAGAUGAUGAGAGUAAAGGUUAGACUGACAACACAGCCAGGGAGUGGGCUGGAAGCAAAACACCAUCCCAGCCCAGACCCACAUGCUUGUAGGGGCUAUUGUCAGCCCUUCUGCUCCAUCUUUUGCUAACUCAGCUGGCCUCUUGGCUAAAGGGACUAGUGUGGAGGUGAACCUGGCACCUAAGAGAGUCCUACCUCAGAACUUCCCACUGGACCUCUCAGAAGAGCCCUUUGUUCUGUGGCCACAGAGUCUGUGACUGUGACUCAGGGAGAUGGACUUCCAUGUCCAAGGCUGUGUGAAGGUCACUUUCUAUAGGAAGAGAAGACAAAAUCUACACAGAGAGAGAAAAACAGAGAUAAGGAUGGGGGUUGAGGGUGGAGAAUUCUCACAGCAUCCAAAUCUUUCCUUUAAGUUCCUGCCUCCAUUGUCCAGCUAGUUUGAAUUCAACUUUAAAAAAUUUGUUCUUUUUAGUUAUACAUGACAGUAGAGUGUAUUUUGACAUAUCAUAUAUACAUGGAAUGUACUUCCCAUUCUUGUGGUUGUGCAUGCGGAGUCCCUCUGGUCGUGUAUUCAUAUGUGCACACAGGAGAGCUAUGUCUGAUUCAUCCCACUGUCUUUCCUAUUCCCAUUCAACCUCUCUUCCCUUCAUUCCCUUUUGUCUAAUCCAAAGUACUCCAAUUCUCCCUCCCCACUUAUUGUGUGUUAGCAUUCACAUACCAGAGAGAACAUUCAGCCUUUGGUUUUUUGGGAUUGGCUUAUUUCACUUAGAAAGAUAGUCUCCAGUUCCAUCCAUUUACUAGCAAAUGGCAUAAUUUCAUUCUUCUUUAUGGCUGAGUAAUAUUCCAUUGUAUAGACGUGCCACUUGAAUUCAGCUUUUGUCACUUGGCCACUGGGAGAGUCCCAACCAAUACAGAAUUUACACACCUGCUAUGCUGCUGCUGGUACCACAUUUACCAGGACAGGAGAGCCACCACUGGGUCUCCUGGAUUCACUCCAACCUGUCUCUCUGAAAUCUGUAAGCAGGUCAACUAUGCACACACUACACCCCUUUCUUCCCCUCUAAAUACAUUCUGUAUCUCCUCUGGAAGAUUUUUCUUCCUGUCUUGUUACCCGAUCCAAGCCUCCUAAUGCAGAUGUGGUUCGUAGUGAUAAGAAGACACCUGAGUUGAGAUGCAUUAUUAGGUCUUCUGAUGCCAAGAGGCACAGAAUUGAACAAUAGGAGGACAGUCGCGACCUCAGCUGUGGGUCCCCUUACUGUACAGUUCCAUUGGCCAAUUUUUUUGGAGGGGUCAUGGGGCAGAAGCGGGGAUGGGGACAUCAUGGCAUUGCCAGUUUCAUUUUGGCAAACAGGGCUAGUAGGCUUAAAGUUACCCUUGCCUCACUCUUCAUGCAUUUACUUAACAAGUCUAAUAAAUAGUCUUCUGUAAACCCUGGGGUUAUAAAGCAAUCUUAUAGUCCAAUCCUUAGAAGAGUAUAAAAGGUCACAUUGAUUCUUCCUUUCAUUGUAAUUGAUACCUUAGAUUACCUUCUAGAAUGUAGGGGGCAGUGUGUGGAAGUGGGAACUACCUUGCUAGUGAUACUUUUCAAAAUGAAUUACAAGCUAGAAAGGGCCAAGGGAGGAGAGGAGGUGGCCCUGGCAGUAGAACUUAAUAUAGUGUGGCCUUGGGGCAGGUGUAGGGACCCAGAGUAGGCAAAAGGUCCAGCCUUCCCUGCAGGGGCCAGCAGGCCAGGUGCUGAGGAGGGCAUGGGGCUCUGUGGAACCAAGGGCCUGGGGUUGCUGUGUUCUGACGUGCUUUGGAACCAAGUAGACGAGCCACUCUGAGGCUUUAAACUCUUUGAUGACAGGCUGUGAGGGAUUGUGGUUCCCUUCACCUCUCUGCUUAACUGACUAGCAAAUUGCCUUUGGGAAAAGUUGUGCCUUUAGGACAAUAGCCAGAGCAAGUGGAGCACAUUAACCAGAGUGGCUGUAACAUCGCACACUGGGCUAGACACAGAGAAGGAGCCUCUUUGGUAUCCACAGUACUUGCACUUAAGCAAUAUAAAUUUUUAAGAAUCUCUUCUUUCUUGCUUACUUUCUCCCUUUCUUUUCUUUUCGUGGUGCUGGGGACAGAACCCAGGGGCCUCUUGCAUGCUAGGUAUGUACUCUACCACUGAGCUACACCCCAGCCCCAAUUUACAAGAAUCUGAAAACUGCUGGCUAGGUGGUCUGAAAAGUCUCCAGUAAGCAAAGCAUAAUGAAUGGAAAUGGAGUGUACAGGACCCGUUACCUUUAACUUACCGUGUCAUUGUUGGUCUCUUCACUAACUGUUGUUUUAUUUAAAUGAUAACAAAAAUGGCUCAUCAGAGCGUUUGUGGAUUCAGUGCUUUCUCUUGCAAUCAUGUUGUCCUAACUUUCUAUCUUUAAGAUGACUUUUAGCUCCUGAGGCCCCAGGUUUCCUGCAGAGGUGAUGGUGAUGGGUGUUCCAGCCAGGUGGUCAGGCCUUUGGUGGUCAAAGUGGUCAGCAGCCUCCAAGCUGGUCCUGGACCCUCCAUGCCUCCCAGGGAGCACCCCUUUUUGCAGUACCUGCCCGUAACAGGACAGGGGUAGUUGGGGCAACCAGUACAGCGAAACCAGAGUGAAGUUCAUUUACAAGAUUAAGUCUUAAAAGACACUGCAGGUCUCAUAGUCAGUGCUUUCUCUUGGAUCUCUCAUUCAGGAUGCCAGCUGUCACAUCACAAGGACAGGCAGACUGUGAAUGGAGAGGCCAUGAGGUAAGGAACUAAGACCUGUAGCCAGACAGUGAGGGCCUAAGCCCACCAAUAACCAUGCAGGUGCACUUGAGGGUGGAGUCAACCUCAUGAGAGACCCUGAGUCAGGACCACUGAGCUAAAUCACUCCCAGACUUCUGGCCCUCGGAAACUGUGAGACACCAUGCAGGUGUGCUGUUGUAACCUACUGUACUGGGGGAAAUUUGUUACACAGCAACAAAAAUGAUUACAGAAAGGAGAGUUGGUAUUUCUUCCCUACUAGCCUUCCUCUCUCAAGAGGAGGCCCCCAUGACUUCUAUGGAGGGAGCUGUGCAUGUCCACUAUUAGAGGGGUUGGGGCAUACUCUCUUCCUUUGCUAGGCUGGAGGUACCACAUUUUGAAUUAAAUUUAGAAAGUGAUUUCCCUUAUGCUCUUUGCUACACUCUGAUGACCCCUUUUAUUUGGAGGUGUGGAUGAAGGAGCACACAUGGAAUCUAGAAGAUGAUAGACAGCCAUUCUUCUUGUCCCCAUUUCAUUUUGGUGGAGUAAGGGAAACAUCUUUUUUUUUGUGCACACAAAAGUUUUAGAAACUGGUCUCAAAUAAGAAAAAAAAAAACUUCAAUUAUUUGUUUCUUAUUAUAAAAGCAGUAAUACAAGUAGAGAAAAAAAUUUAAAAAGCAAAACCAUUAAACACCAAUAAUGACAUCAUCCAGAUGUAAAUACUGUUAACAAUUAGAGUAUAUCCUCAACCACUUGUACCUAUGUAUACAGUUAUCUUUUGCUAUCCAUGGGGGAUUGGGUCUAGGAUCCCUGAAGAUACCAAAGUCUGAGGAUGCUCGAGUUUCUUAUGUAAGAAGUAAAGUAUCUGCAUAUAAUAAAUGCACAUCCCACUGACACUUUCAAUUAUCUCUAGAUUGCUUAUGAUAUCUAAUAUAAUAUAAAUAUUAUGUAAAUAGUUAUGCCACAUUGUUUAGGGAAUCAUGACUGGAAAAAGAUGGUACAUAUUGUACAGACACAAUUUUUCUAUGAAAAUAUCUUUGAUCCAUGGUUGGUUUAAUCUGUGGAUGCAGAACUCUCAGGUAUGCAAGGCUGAUUAUAUAUUUUACACAAGUAGAUAACAUAAGUACAAUUUUGUGACUUUGUUUUUCAUUAGAUAUAUAAACUUGUGUUUAGGUUGUUAUGGUAUCAUGUCAUUUAUCGUUAUAUUUUUAAAUGGCUGCAUAGUAUUCUAUCAUAUUGUAUCAUAUGUAUUCUAUCAUUCAGAUGUGUUAUCAUUUAUCAUACCAAUUCCCUUCUAUUGGUUAUAAAUUUAUUUCUAAUUUUGCUAUUUUAAGUUAAGCUGUAAAGAAUAUGCUUGUAGCUAAAUGUUUGUACCUACCUUGGCUACCUCCUUUAGAAUAGUAAUAAAAAGAAAAUGAUUGAAUUAAAGGUGCACAGUUUUUCAA
This 6893-nucleotide long non-coding RNA is filed under the name Marmota monax (woodchuck). The record is from RNAcentral. Lineage: Eukaryota; Metazoa; Chordata; Mammalia; Rodentia; Sciuridae.